Molecule: long non-coding RNA, 1194 nt
Filed under: Macaca fascicularis (crab-eating macaque)
Lineage: Eukaryota; Metazoa; Chordata; Mammalia; Primates; Cercopithecidae
Description: lncRNA (ENSMFAG00000059595.1)
Source: RNAcentral
AAAGGAUAUAAUGUCAACAGAUCUUUUAUAAUUACCACUGCAUCCCUUGUCACACUGUCUGGUGCACCUCUACACUGGAGAUCGGUGUCUGUCUUGACUUGUGUACAUGACACAUAUAAUCACUCAGAGUGCACCUGCUUUAAAUGAGAAAGUUUCAAAAUGUUAUUUUGUUGUCAUGAGAAGAAGCAGAAUUACUCAAUAAAGAUGAAGUAGGAAUAGCACAAACACAGUCCAGGUAAAUAGCUUUAACUUGAUUGUAAAGCGAAGCGGCAAAAAGAAAAAAAAAGAGUAUGUCAGUUCAUCGGAUUGCAGCAUAAUUCUAAGAAUUCUGCCUUACACAUAUUCUGAUUCUGUGAUAUAGUUCUAAGAAUUCUUCUCUAUAUAGCUCCUUAUUCUGUGUCGUAGAAUCAGAAAGUACAUCUACACAGUUUUUUAAGAGUUGUUUUCUAGAACUUACUUUCCCUUUGAGGUAAACAAUUGAAUCAAACAGAUGGUGUCUAACUUAUUCCCAGUGCAAUGCUAAGUAAGGAAAAUACAGAAUUUCAAUAUAAUAAUUCUGCUCAAAAUACAAUAAUUUUGAGAACAUAAGAAUAAAAUGUAUCAAAUACCUUCGUAUAUUUUUAAAUUAUUUCUUUUUGUGGAGGGACUUAAUUAUUUUACAUUUUUAAGUGAGAUCCUUGAAGUAAUAUUUGCAGGAAGUAUAAGUUAACUGGGCAGAAUUUUAUCCAAUUAGUGUGUUGAUUUAGAAUGGAAAAAAGGCAGAUGAGAAUAAAGGAGUUUUCCAGAUUUCAUGUGGUAUAGUAUAGUCCCAGAAAUUAUUCCCCAGGGUUCUUCUCUUUUGUUCUUCCAGGAGAUACUACCCAACUUCUUUCUGUGUUUUCCAUGUAAAAUGUAAGUAGUAGAAUACAAAAGCAAUGACUCUUGGUUUACGAAUUCAUUUUACAGUAGAUUCCCAGGGUUUGGGGAAUGAGAAAGGGGUAAGGGGUGAAGGACUAGAUAUUUUUCAAACUUAGUUAUGAACAACAUUUUAUAAUUUAUUUUGAUUAAAAAAUUGAGAAGAGAGGCAGGUAUGGCAGCUCACAUCUGUAAUCCCAGCACUUUGGGAGGACAAGGCAGGAGGAUUCCUUGAGGCCAGGAGUUCAAGAACAGCCUGAGCAACCCUGGGAGGUUCUGCCUCUACCAAAAAAUAAAAAA